Mustela erminea (ermine) is the source of this 102-nucleotide long non-coding RNA. RefSeq lists it as uncharacterized. The transcript has 3 exons. The record is from RefSeq and is a predicted model, not a curated record. Lineage: Eukaryota; Metazoa; Chordata; Mammalia; Carnivora; Mustelidae.
AAACUCAGAGGAAGUCUGAAUGAAGUAUGUACUUUAGUUAAUAACAAUGAAUCAAUACUAGUUUAUUAAUUGUAACAAAUGUACCAUACUAAUGUUAAGACA